Molecule: long non-coding RNA, 1908 nt
Organism: Helianthus annuus (common sunflower)
Lineage: Eukaryota; Viridiplantae; Streptophyta; Magnoliopsida; Asterales; Asteraceae
Exons: 4
Source: RefSeq, a predicted model, not a curated record
CCAUAAGCAAGAACUGACUCAUUUUAUUUCAAAUGCUUUUUAUUGCAUAUUGUUGCUAUGCACAGUUAGAUAUCCAACUAUUACAUUGCGAAUGAAGUUUAUCGGGCGUUGAGGGGGCUAUGAUGACUAAACGUGAUUUGCCAGCUCAUAUUCUGUGACUUUGGAAGUGCAAAGGUUCUGGUAAUUUAAAAAAUAUAUAUAUAGAUUUCAAUACAAAAAUAUCAUUCAUCAUUUGGUGAGCAUUGAUUUUUUUUAUUAUUUCAAUUUUGAGUUGCUCAUAGUUAAUUGUAUCUUAUCGCAUUUCAAACUAGACAUGGAAUGGCGGGAGGCAAAGCAAACGAAGUGGCUCUGAAUCAGCUUCAACUUUUGGUGGAAGCAGAUUGAAAAGGAGGACAAAUAGGGCUACUUCCUAGCAACCCUUUAAGCUCAGAAUAGAGGUUAGCAUUUACAGUUGCUUAUGAGACAGUGUUGGUUCUGGCUUGCAGUUUGUUUGGGACUGGAAGGUGUUCUUUUUGAAGACUAGCAUUGUUCGUAUUGCAUUACAUGGGCGCUGUUCCUAGAAAAGAGCCUCGCCAUCACUGUCGGAACAUCAACUCUGCUGCACCGCCACUGGUCAAUUUUACGUUGUCGUUUAUCUGAAAAAGGUGGCAUAAAUUUGGGCACUGGGAAAACGACUUCUAGGCUUGCACGUUCUAUGUGAUUUGCAUACAUUAUCAAGGGCUUGCACUUCCAACCUCUUAGAAAUGGCUUCAUUAAUAUAAAUCUUUUGCCUUUAUUUUUUCAAUCCUACCUGCUGAUAUUUUUUAUAUAAUCUAUAGUAUUAACUACCUGUCACUACUGUGAAGCAAGCAAUGCCAUUAUCACCUCUUCUACCCAUCAGCAUUGCAAAAGUCGUCAGCCGCCAUUACCUAGUGUAAACGUCAUCUUAGGUAUCAUAUAUCAUAUUCUCGCAAUCGUCGCUAAGUCGCUACCUUACGUAUAAGUAAUUCGCAAGGGGGAUUGUUUAGUUUGGAGAGGUUUAUGAGAGUACGGAGAAUAUGGCGUAUAAGGUAUUGGCGAGGGCGAUUGUUACGUUUGCAGAGGUUUAUGAGAGGAUGGAGAAUAUGAAGCAAGAGAAGAUGGUGAGGUUGGAGAAGCAAAGGAUGGAAUUUACUAAAGAGCUUGAGUUUCACAGGUUGAACAUGUUUAUGGAAACUCAGGUUGUGCUUGAAAAAAAAUGAAAAAUAAGAACAAGAGAUCAUCUGCUACAGGUUCCAUGGGUUCAGUAUAUCAUUUUUAAACUUAAUCUUUUGGCUUAUGAUCCUAUCUAUGUUAUGAGUCAAACAAUUGGGUCAAAACAUAUAUGUUUUAGAAGUGAUUUUUGUAAAGGAUUUUAAUGUAAAUACGUGACAAUCACAUAUAUACUCCUGAACUUUUAGAUACACAAAUUUAGAAUAAAGUGUUUUGGUCGCAGUGGCGGAGCUUGAACGAAAAGUCAGUGGGGAACUCUCAAAAUCCAAAUCGUUGAGGGUCGGACUAUUAAAAAUCUAAUAUCUUACACAAAAAAAAAAUUUAAAAUUUUUGGUAAAACUAAAACUAUGACCCCUCGGCCCCAAUAAAGAGUGUGCAAUGCUUGAGAUACACAUAUUUUGUCUAAACUGAGAUAAAUACCAAACUCAAGUUUUUGACAUAUUUAUUAAAGUUGAAUCAGUAACGGGAGAACUUUGUUUACUUUCAGGUCAUCCUUUUGUAUAUAUUGUACUAAUCCUCUCAUUGAGGAUCAUUUUAGUUUUAAUACAACACACUCAAAUGUCUUCCGAAACAAGUCAAAGAGAUCUGCAUAAUGUGUUCAUGUUUGACCUCAAAAGUCGAAACCUGCAUGUAUUUUUCUCUUCAAAGAAUGAGAUUUGUUUAAUCUAAUCAUAUUUA